GUGUCAGCAGCCGCGGUAAUACAGAGGGUGCGAGCGUUGUCCGGAAUCACUGGGCGUAAAGGGCGCGUAGGCGGCCCCUUAAGCGUGUGGUGAAAGCGCGGGGCUCAACCCCGCGUCGGCCAUGCGGACUGGGGGGCUGGAGCACGUCAGAGGCAGGCGGAAUUCCGGGUGUAGCGGUGGAAUGCGUAGAGAUCCGGAAGAACACCGGUGGCGAAGGCGGCCUGCUGGGACGUGGCUGACGCUGAGGCGCGACAGCGUGGGGAGCAAACAGGAUUAGAAACCCCCGUAGUCC
RNAcentral lists this ribosomal RNA (292 nucleotides) under uncultured bacterium. Its description in RNAcentral is "partial 16S ribosomal RNA". It matches the Rfam family "Bacterial small subunit ribosomal RNA", at positions 505 to 796 of the family's 1533-position model. The record is from RNAcentral.